RNAcentral lists this ribosomal RNA (449 nucleotides) under uncultured Pseudomonadota bacterium. RNAcentral's name for it is "bacterial SSU rRNA". It matches the Rfam family "Bacterial small subunit ribosomal RNA", at positions 8 to 480 of the family's 1533-position model. Lineage: Bacteria; Pseudomonadati; Pseudomonadota. The record is from RNAcentral.
AGAGUUUGAUCCUGGCUCAGAACGAACGCUGGCGGCAGGCUUAACACAUGCAAGUCGAACGCCCCGCAAGGGGAGUGGCAGACGGGUGAGUAACGCGUGGGAAUCUACCCAGUUCUACGGAACAACUGAGGGAAACUUCAGCUAAUACCGUAUACGCCCUAGGGGGGAAAGAUUUAUCGGAAUUGGAUGAGCCCGCGUUGGAUUAGCUAGUUGGUGAGGUAACGGCUCACCAAGGCGACGAUCCAUAGCUGGUCUGAGAGGAUGAUCAGCCACACUGGGACUGAGACACGGCCCAGACUCCUACGGGAGGCAGCAGUGGGGAAUUUUGGACAAUGGGCGAAAGCCUGAUCCAGCCAUUCCGCGUGCAGGAUGAAGGCCCUCGGGUUGUAAACUGCUUUUGUACGGAACGAAAAGGCCUGGGUUAAUACCUCGGGCUCAUGACGGUACCG